This 253-nucleotide ribosomal RNA is filed under the name uncultured bacterium. Its description in RNAcentral is "partial 16S ribosomal RNA". It matches the Rfam family "Bacterial small subunit ribosomal RNA", at positions 524 to 776 of the family's 1533-position model. The record is from RNAcentral.
UACGUAGGGUGCGAGCGUUAAUCGGAAUUACUGGGCGUAAAGGGUGCGCAGGCGGUUUGUUAAGCUUGAUGUGAAAGCCCCGGGCUUAACCUGGGAACGGCAUUGAGGACUGGCAGACUAGAGUGUGGCAGAGGGGGGUGGAAUUCCAGGUGUAGCAGUGAAAUGCGUAGAUAUCUGGAGGAACACCGAUGGCGAAGGCAGCCCCCUGGGCUAACACUGACGCUCAGGCACGAAAGCGUGGGGAGCAAACAGG